This 422-nucleotide ribosomal RNA is filed under the name uncultured bacterium. RNAcentral describes it as "bacterial SSU rRNA". It matches the Rfam family "Bacterial small subunit ribosomal RNA", at positions 958 to 1385 of the family's 1533-position model. The record is from RNAcentral.
AACGCGAAGAACCUUACCCGGGCUUGACAUCCUGUGACAUCCUAAGAGAUUAGGUUUUCUAGCAAUAGAACACAGAGACAGGUGCUGCAUGGCUGUCGUCAGCUCGUGCCGUGAGGUGUUGGGUUAAGUCCCGCAACGAGCGCAACCCUUGUCGUGUGUUGGUCGAAAGAUCUCUCACGCGAGACCGCCGGUGACAAGCCGGAGGAAGGUGGGGAUGACGUCAAGUCAGCAUGGCCCUUACGUCCGGGGCUACACACGUGCUACAAUGGAAGGGACAGCGAGUCGCUAACCCGCGAGGGUGUGCUAAUCUCUUAAACCCUUCCUCAGUUCGGAUUGGAGGCUGCAACUCGCCUCCAUGAAGUCGGAAUCGCUAGUAACCGCAGAUCAGCUACGCUGCGGUGAAUACGUUCCCGGGCCUUGUA